UCCCAUUCGACACGGGCAGUCCGACUAGAGUGCCUUCUUUCGAAGUUGCAACUAAUCGCAAGGGUUUCGCUCGUUACGGGACUUAACCCAACAUCUCACGACACGAGCUGACGACAGCCAUGCAACACCUGAUGGAGGCUUCCCUUUCGGGAUCGUCACCGUUUCCGGUUCCUACUACCCCCACUUCAAGCCCGGGUAAGGUUCUUCGCGUUGCAUCGAAUUGAACCACAUGCUCCACCGCUUGUGCGUGCCCCCGUCAAUUCCUUUGAGUUUUAACCUUGCGGCCGUACUCCCCAGGCGGGACACUUAACGCGUUAGCUGCAGCAAAGAGGGGCAAGCCCCCCUCACUCAGUGUCCAUCGUUUACGGCUGGGACUAC
This 378-nucleotide unclassified non-coding RNA is filed under the name uncultured Planctomycetota bacterium. RNAcentral describes it as "uncultured planctomycete contains 16S-23S intergenic spacer region". The record is from RNAcentral. Lineage: Bacteria; Pseudomonadati; Planctomycetota.